AUGGGGCAGCAGUCUAGCGCUUUUCCCCGUCGCCAAACGACCCAGGAAUCUCCCGCCGGCGGCGAAAUCCCUAGUGCGGAAGCUGUGCUGUUGAGCCUGGAGAAGGUUCUUGCUGAUCUGGAAGCGCAUGGGAGAGAGCUGACCAAGGUGGUCACCGGGAGCUUGGAGGAUGAACAGUCGUGUCAUAGGAUCGAAUGCAACGGAUUUGUCCAAGGGUUUCUCCUGGAUCAAAUCGCGCCAUUGCGCCACCGGCUGUCGUCUGAGAAGAAGAUUGAGGAUCAUCUCAGGUCCAGGGCCAAAGAGAAAAGUAAUCGCGCCGGCAGAUUGGAGUCUGAUGGUGGUGGUUAUGAGUCUGAAUUCAGAUCACAGAGGGAGGCAGGGUCGGUGAUGUUCAUGGGUUUGGACAACAUUACCAAUGGGGACAGGAAGAUGGUCGAAUCAGCCAAGUCAAUGCUCCAACCUGCAUAUCCCAGCACCAACACAUUGGAUUGUGGCGGCGACGACAAGAAGGAUGAGAUGGACAUGCGCAAAUCAGACGCGUGUUGGACUGUGAAAUCGGAUAAGUUGUUGCUCAAAUCUGCAGGCACAAUUGGCAGAUGCUCUGUCCAAGGCUGUCCUGAUCAUGACGAGAUGGACACACUAUUGGCUAAGGAGAUGGCUAAUGAAGCAGAGAGAUUCGCUUCAUAUGUUCGCAGCUGGGAAUAUGCGUGGGGCAGAACGUGCGGCUUCUUCAGAGACAUGACGACCCUGAGUUCCAUACAGUUUACGCACAACACGCCCAGACUCAACAGCGGUCCUGGGUCUGCCACGCGAACAUUGCAGAUCUUCUCCAUCAAGCUCGCAGAAAUAGCCGGUGGCCUCAAGUGGCCAUUGUCUGUGUAUGGCGUGGUUGCUGCCCGAGACGUCGCGGAUCACAACCGCAACCUUCUCUUCUCUCGUAAUAUGAGCCAGGCCCAAGAACUGAAAGAAGAUGAUAGAAUUUUGCGCUUGAUUGGCCCGUCCCGUGCAAUUGCGUUUACGGAUAGAUUUGACUUUGAAAUCCAACUGAAAGUAAAAGGCACGGGUACAGCCAAGUCACAAGAUAAAGCAUUGAUCAGCUCUGCAGACUGUUACGACGGCGAAUAUGGACCUGCCAUGUCAACCUUUUCUCUCGGCAGCUCGGCCACGCCGGAACGGGCUGGGGCGCGGACGCGCGAGGUGUCGGCCUUGACGUUGUGGGCGCACGGCAGCUCGGCCUCGCCGGAGCGGGCGCGCGGCGCGCGCGAACGCACGGCAGCUCGGCAGCUCGGCCAUGCCGGAACGGGCUGGGGCACGGACGCGCGAGGUGUCGGCCUUGACGUUGUGGGCGCACGGCAGCUGGCCUCGCCGGAGCGGGCGCGCGGCAGUUCGGCCACGCCGGAGCGGGCAGGGGCGGACGCACUGGAUCUUGGUCUUGACGGAGUGGGCGCACGACAGCUUGGCCUCGCCGGAGCUGGCUGGUUCGUGGGCGUGCGGGAUUUCGGCCUCGCCGGAGCGGGCUGGGCCGUGGGCGCACGGCAGCUCGACCUCGCCGGAGCUGCGUAG
This 1563-nucleotide ribosomal RNA is filed under the name Triticum aestivum (bread wheat). RNAcentral describes it as "partial small subunit ribosomal RNA". Lineage: Eukaryota; Viridiplantae; Streptophyta; Magnoliopsida; Poales; Poaceae. The record is from RNAcentral.